AUUGAACGCUGGCGGCAUGCCUUACACAUGCAAGUCGAACGGUAACAGGUCUUCGGAUGCUGACGAGUGGCGAACGGGUGAGUAAUAUAUCGGAACGUGCCCAGUCGUGGGGGAUAACGCAGCGAAAGCUGUGCUAAUACCGCAUACGAUCUAUGGAUGAAAGCGGGGGAUCGCAAGACCUCGCGCGAUUGGAGCGGCCGAUAUCAGAUUAGGUAGUUGGUGGGGUAAAGGCCCACCAAGCCAACGAUCUGUAGCUGGUCUGAGAGGACGACCAGCCAGACUGGAACUGAGACACGGUCCAGACUCCUACGGGAGGCAGCAGUAGGGAAUUUUCCACAAUGGGCGAAAGCCUGAUGGAGCAACGCCGCGUGCAGGAUGAAGGCCCUCGGGUCGUAAACUGCUUUUGUACGGAACGAAAAGGUCUUUUCUAAUAAAGAAGGCUGAUGACGGUACCGUAAGAAUAAGCAACCGGCUAACUACGUGCCAGCAGCCGAC
Molecule: ribosomal RNA, 495 nt
Filed under: uncultured bacterium
Lineage: Bacteria
Description: bacterial SSU rRNA
Rfam family: Bacterial small subunit ribosomal RNA
Source: RNAcentral